AGCAGCCGCGGUAAUUCCAGCUCCAAUAGCGUAUAUUAAAGUUGUUGCAGUUAAAAAGCUCGUAGUUGAAUUUCGGGAUCAAUAUGUUGGUCGUGCCUCGGUACGUACUAGCAUAUUGGUUUCUCCUUUCUGAAGAACCAUGAUGUCAUUUAUUUGGUGUCGUGGGGAAUCAGGACUGUUACUUUGAAAAAAUUAGAGUGUUUAAAGCAGGCUCACGCUUGAAUACAUUAGCAUGGAAUAAUGAAAUAGGACGUUUGAUUCUAUUUUGUUGGUUUCUAGGAUCGACGUAAUGAUUAAUAGGGAUAGUUGGGGGCAUUAGUAUUCAAUUGUCAGAGGUGAAAUUCUUGGAUUUAUUGAAGACUAACUACUGCGAAAGCAUUUGCCAAGGAUGUUUUCAUUAAUCAAGAACGAAAGUUAGGGGAUCGAAGACGAUCAGAUACCGUCGUAGUCUUAACCAUAAACUAUGCCGACUAGGGGAU
Molecule: unclassified non-coding RNA, 479 nt
Filed under: uncultured Glomus
Lineage: Eukaryota; Fungi; Glomeromycota; Glomeromycetes; Glomerales; Glomeraceae
Description: SSU rRNA
Rfam family: Eukaryotic small subunit ribosomal RNA
Source: RNAcentral